AUUGAACGCUGGCGGCAGGCCUAACACAUGCAAGUCGAGCGGAUGAAGGGAGCUUGCUCCUGGAUUCAGCGGCGGACGGGUGAGUAAUGCCUAGGAAUCUGCCUGGUAGUGGGGGAUAACGUCCGGAAACGGGCGCUAAUACCGCAUACGUCCUGAGGGAGAAAGUGGGGGAUCUUCGGACCUCACGCUAUCAGAUGAGCCUAGGUCGGAUUAGCUAGUUGGUGGGGUAAAGGCCUACCAAGGCGACGAUCCGUAACUGGUCUGAGAGGAUGAUCAGUCACACGGGAACUGAGACGCGGUCCAGACUCCUACGGGAGGCAGCAGUGGGGAAUAUUGGACAAUGGGCGAAAGCCUGAUCCAGCCGUGCCGCGUGUGUGAAGAAGGUCUUCGGAUUGUAAAGCACUUUAAGUUGGGAGGAAGGGCAGUAAGUUAAUACCUUGCUGUUUUGACGUUACCAACAGAAUAAGCACCGGCUAACUUCGUG
This 484-nucleotide ribosomal RNA is filed under the name uncultured bacterium. RNAcentral describes it as "partial 16S ribosomal RNA". It matches the Rfam family "Bacterial small subunit ribosomal RNA", at positions 30 to 507 of the family's 1533-position model. The record is from RNAcentral.